GUGCACAGAUCAAGCUUACUUGGUCUGAUCAGUGGCGAACGGGUGAGUAACACGUGAGUAACCUGCCCCAGACUCUGGGAUAACCCCGGGAAACCGGAGCUAAUACCGGAUAUGACACGCCCCUGCAUGGGGAGUGUGUGGAAAGUUUUUCGGUCUGGGAUGGACUCGCGGCCUAUCAGCUUGUUGGUGAGGUAAUGGCUCACCAAGGCGACGACGGGUAGCCGGCCUGAGAGGGCGACCGGCCACACUGGGACUGAGACACGGCCCAGACUCCUACGGGAGGCAGCAGUGGGGAAUAUUGCACAAUGGGCGAAAGCCUGAUGCAGCGACGCCGCGUGAGGGAUGACGGCCUUCGGGUUGUAAACCUCUUUCAGCAGGGAAGAAGCGCAAGUGACGGUACCUGCAGAAGAAGCACCGGCUAACUACGUGCCAGCAGCCGCCGGUAAUACGUUAGGGUGCGGAGCGUUGUCCGGAAUUAUUGGGCGUAAAGAGCUUGUUAGGUGGUUUGUCGCGUUUGCUGUGAAAAUCCGAGGCUYAACCUCGGACUUGCAGUGGGUACGGGCAGACUAGARUGUGGUARGGGAGACUGGAAUUCCUGGUGUAGCGGUGGAAUGCGCAGAUAUCAGGAGGAACACCGAUGGCGAAGGCAGGUCUUUGGGCCAUUACUGACACUGAGAAGCGAAAGCAUGGGGAGCGAACAGGAUUAGAUACCCUGGUAGUCCAUGCCGUAAACGUUGGGAACUAGGUGUGGGUUUCAUUUCACGAGAUCCGUGCCGCAGCUAACGCAUUAAGUUCCCCGCCUGGGGAGUACGGCCGCAAGGCUAAAACUCAAAGGAAUUGACGGGGGCCCGCACAAGCGGCGGAGCCUGCGGAUUAAUUCGAUGCAACGCGAAGAACCUUACCAAGGCUUGACAUACCCCGGAAUCACUUAGAGAUGGGUGCGUUUUCGGACUGGUGUACAGGUGGUGCAUGGUUGUUGUCAGCUCGUGUCGUGAGAUGUUGGGUUAAGUCCCGCAACGAGCGCAACCCUCGUUUUAUGUUGCCAGCACGUCAUGGUGGGGACUCAUAGGAGACUGCCGGGGUCAACUCGGAGGAAGGUGGGGAUGACGUCAAAUCAUCAUGCCCCUUAUGUCUUGGGCUUCACGCAUGCUACAAUGGCCGGUACAAAGGGCUGCGAAACCGCGAGGUGGAGCGAAUCCCAAAAAACCGGUCUCAGUUCGGAUUGGGGUCUGCAACUCGACCCCAUGAAGUCGGAGUCGCUAGUAAUCGCAGAUCAGCAACGCUGCGGUGAAUACGUUCCCGGGCCUUGUACACACCGCCCGUCAAGUCACGAAAGUCGGUAACACCCGAAGCCGGUGGCCCAACCCUUU
Molecule: ribosomal RNA, 1370 nt
Filed under: Terrabacter koreensis
Lineage: Bacteria; Bacillati; Actinomycetota; Actinomycetes; Micrococcales; Intrasporangiaceae
Description: bacterial SSU rRNA
Rfam family: Bacterial small subunit ribosomal RNA
Source: RNAcentral